ACCUUCUUGAAAGAGGUUGGGGCAGGCAGUGACUGUUCAGACGUCCAGUCUCUUUGGGACACCUCUUCAGCGCUGUCUUCCCUGCCUCUGCCUUUAGGACGAGUCUCAAA
Cebus imitator (Panamanian white-faced capuchin) is the source of this 110-nucleotide microRNA precursor. The record is from Ensembl. NCBI's taxonomy places the organism in Eukaryota, Metazoa, Chordata, Mammalia, Primates, Cebidae.